This 1949-nucleotide ribosomal RNA is filed under the name Triticum aestivum (bread wheat). RNAcentral's name for it is "partial small subunit ribosomal RNA". Lineage: Eukaryota; Viridiplantae; Streptophyta; Magnoliopsida; Poales; Poaceae. The record is from RNAcentral.
GAAACGAAAACCUGAAACGAGCGGCAACGAAGAUCUCGCGUUUCUGAAGGUACGAACGUUGGGUCUACGGAAGCGAAAGUGAAAGUGGCUCGUCCGGCCUCGGUGUCGAGCAUCGUUUCGACUGUGGAAGCGGAAGAUCGUCUAUCUAGGGUCGCAUAGGCCGCGCCAGUGGUAGCCGUCUAGUGCUCGGGCGGGGACACCGGGCCUAGGUAUGCGCAUGCGGGCAGGAGCAGAGGUGCGCGUGGCGGAAAGGGAGGAGGGGCCGGCCGGAGGGAGGAGGAGUUCAUGGUUUAGCCGGCAGCGCGAGAGGUGGUGGUGGUGUCGGUGGAGGGGGAGGGGAGGAACGCGGCAGCGCAGUCGGAGCAUCGGCUCAGCUGCAGCUGCUGCGCGCGCGGGUGGGUGUUGACGACCCGCGGUACGACGUCCGCCCGAGCCUCGCACGCCGCGGCGAGGGCCCGCGCCGCUCCGACACCCACGGCCCCUACUCGGGGCACCGCCGCCUGCCCCGCCCCCGCAGCCGGUCCCGCGCCCUCUAGCGCGCCUCCGCCCUGCUCUACGAGCCGUACGACGCGCUGGAGGGGCUCCGGCUGAUGCUCGAUAGGGAGUGGCUGGAGCAGCUGUUCUGGCGGCGCGGGCCCCGGUUGCCUACGCACGGCGGGAACGGGAACGGCCAGCUCUCCUUUCUCCGCUCGGGCUCGGGGAACCCAGACCGGCUCAGGCCGCCCGUCCGGCUCGGCGUCGGCGUCGUCGUCGGCCGCUCCCGCUGCCUCUCCUUCCCGAGGCGGAGGCGCUCCGCCGCGCCCCUGCCGCCGUCGCCCCCGCCCUCGCCCUCGCCGGAGGCGUCGUCGUCGCUGCCGCAGGACGAGUUGAAGAUGUACGGCGCGAGGAAGUGGGCGUCGAAGUGGCGCGGCGCGGGGGGGGCGUGGGGGAGGAAGAGGUGGAGGCCGGCCCGGCGGUCGCGGCAGCGGGGGCUGCUGACGUUGUUCUCCCUCUCUCUGCCGCUGUGCCAGUCCACGACCGGCGACGGCACCCUGGCCGCCACCGCGUUCAGCUCGGCCAGUUAUACAAGAGAGUGGUCUAUUUUACCCUCUUUCCAGGUGCACCCCACCAGUUUUAAAUAGGCGCCUUUCCACUAUAGACCCGAAACAUGGCUUUAACCAGGGGACUGACCUUACCUCUAUGAGGACUAUUACACGAAGUACAAAUACUAGACCAACUCCAUGUCCUACUAAUACUACUUCUAUUACCUUAAAGACAGUAAGGGAACUAAUUCGAGUGACCUAAAGCUUGUCAAAAGGUCGUAGUAGUCCUGGCCCUACGGUAGUUCUCCUAAGGUUUCCCUCUCUACAAAGCCAAAAGUGUAGUCCAAGGGAAAAUGUCCUACAGUCCCCUUCUUCGAGGUUUACAGGGAUUUCCAUCGAAACUCCAUCUAGGUCGACGAUAGAGAUUUCUUGAAGAAGUCCCUUAGUGACUUUGACACUUCCUCCGUCUCCCUUGAAGAUUUACGACUAAUUUUGUCAACUACGACUGAGCCAAUACGGAAACAACUGGACGGCAAAACUUAGUUUAUAAACAACUGUAGACGAUCAAAGAUAUCAAAGGAUCGGAGAUGAUGAAAACUGAUAGUGGAAACAUAUGUCAACAACCAGACCCCGAUCGGUAAGGAUUUAGUAGAACAUACCGUAGACCCGUACACAGAACAGUAGAGUUUUGAAUUUGUCACUACGACUAUUACACUCAAUCUCUGUAUCAGUAAAACAUACAGUGUUUUUGAACCUUCACGACUAUGAAGAUGUUAUACAACAAAAUAGAGAUCGACAUACUCUUACUUCCAAAACGAUAAAAUAGACCAACGAGUUGUAUGGUGAACCAAUUGUAAUACCUACCAAACCUAGCCAUGAGGUGCUUGUAGGAAAAGGUCCAACAAUGGUCGUCAUGACUAUAAACAC